RNAcentral lists this ribosomal RNA (500 nucleotides) under uncultured bacterium. RNAcentral's name for it is "partial 16S ribosomal RNA". It matches the Rfam family "Bacterial small subunit ribosomal RNA", at positions 30 to 523 of the family's 1533-position model. The record is from RNAcentral.
AUUGAACGCUGGCGGCAUGCCUUACACAUGCAAGUCGAACGGCAGCACGGGGGCAACCCUGGUGGCGAGUGGCGAACGGGUGAGUAAUACAUCGGAACGUGCCCAGUCGUGGGGGAUAACGUGGCGAAAGUUACGCUAAUACCGCAUACGAUCUCUGGAUGAAAGCGGGGGACCGCAAGGCCUCGCGCGAUUGGAGCGGCCGAUGGCAGAUUAGGUAGUUGGUGGGGUAAAAGCUUACCAAGCCUCCGAUCUGUAGCUGGUCUGAGAGGACGAUCAGCCACACUGGGACUGAGACACGGCCCAGACUCCUACGGGAGGCAGCAGUGGGGAAUUUUGGACAAUGGGCGCAAGCCUGAUCCAGCAAUGCCGCGUGCAGGACGAAGGCCUUCGGGUUGUAAACUGCUUUUGUACGGAGCGAAACGGCUUCCACUAAUACUGGGGGCUAAUGACGGUACCGUAAGAAUAAGCACCGGCUAACUACGUGCCAGCCGCCGCCGUAA